CCCAGCUCGUGGUGAGACGCAGUGGUGCUUUUACCAUUAGCACACAGAUGGUAAGCUGAAGCAAAGAGGGAUUUGGAGACCAAAUCACCGCCUGCCCUCAGUACAUCCCAAAAGCUGAGCGUCUCUCCCAGCAUCUCUGCUUCCCACAGAGAGAUCCUCUGCCACAGGAGAACCAGGACUGAACGUACAGCUCUUCCAGCAUCAGCGUUCCCUCAAGAACCUACUCCGCAUACCUUCGUGCUGAGGAAAUUCCACAUCUGAGACCUGCGCCACGCCGCCCUGCUCUACCGGCCCAGGUCUCCUUCAGCAAAACAAACGUUAGCAGCAUUUAAGCCAUUACUCCGAUGCUGCCUUACAAGAGGCAGAGCGCAAGCGAGGAAUGGAAAAAGCCCUCACUGCUCACAGCGUUGCCCGAGAGGUUUUGACAGUAACGUCCACAGCACGAUGAGAAAUACUGUGGGAUUGGCACGUUUCCUUCCUGAAGGUUUUGCAAAACGCACUUCUUCUGCUGUGAAAAUCAAAGCCAGACUCAGCAUCAAACGAUUAAAGGUUAACUAAGACUUCAAACGAGCGCCGUGCAAUGGGUCAUUCUCCUACGGAUUAUGGAACACAAAGUAGCCCUCGGUAUUAAUAUCUGCAUUUAAUUACGGCCGUGUCUGAGGGUGAUGAGCAGAAAAACACAGGCUUUGUUACAGAUGUGCAUUUCGCUGUGGAAAUUCUUUGGAAAGAAAAACAUUGCUGCACCUGUUAGGCACCAAACGCCAACGAUUUCUCAGCACUAUGGGGCAAGUGGCCCACGUUUGGGGUGAAACGAAGCUGGAGUUGUUUUAAAAUAAGCACAAGAGUCUGCUAAAAUACAGUGCUUUUUUAUUCGAUGGGAAACAAGGUCCGCUGGCUCGGGAUGUGAGGAUGCAAACACAAACCAGGCUGGAAGAAAGCUCGGUGAAGUGUGCUGCGCUGCAGUUGGGUUUCUCCCAUAGCUCCUCCAGAAAGUUGGCCACUAGAAAAUGAGCGGCUGAUGCAGCACAGGGGAAAGCAACAUUCCUCCCCCUGGAAACCACCAUCUGCUUCCAGACACAUCCUCUUCACGCGCCUCUUCAUCCCUCACUAGAGCCUAAUCACAGAAGCCUUUUUAAUUAAAAGAGGUGGCUCAAUGCAUCUUUUUCCUAUUGAUCUGGAGUCAACAAGAAACCAUAAACCAAGAAAUUAAAAUAAUAAUUUAUAGCCUCUGGCCUGACUGCCUGUUAGCUCUGUUUGCCAUAUUGUACACAAUGGUUUCCUGCCUCUGCCAGUAUAUAAACUCAAUACAAGAGCUCCAAAAAGGGAGAGGAGAAAAAAAAAGCCAAACCCCCCACACACAACCCUAUAAGGCUUCCUCUAGAAACCAGCUCUGAGGAUGGUUUUCAGCUCACCCUUUGUCUGAUCUGGGGCCAACCCUCAGUUCCAAUCAUAACAGAAAACAGCGAAGAUGAAAGGCCAAACUCCAUUUCUUUCCAACUUGAGCCAGGUGUACAGCUGGCACCAGCAGCCUCCAAUGGAAACAUGUUCCAGUGAAGACAUGUUAAAGCAAUAAAAAGAAAAUGAGUAACAUGUGGCUAAAAACAUCUAUUCGUUUCGCUUAUUUUCUAUAAAUGAAUUUUCCCAGGGCAGCGUUUGGGGGUUUCUUUAAACAGUGCUCAGUUCCAUAGGCGUUACAGGGUUUCCAAGACAGUGUGAUCCCUCUGAGAGGUUUGAAAUGCCAGCAAGUACGUCUCUUAUAAACUAAUAGGCUAUUAUUUACAAUUGUGAGUGGCUCAAAUAGCCGAUUUAAAACCUUCAAAUGACAAAAAUUCCUCUGAGGCAAGAUGCCAAAGUUGAGCAAACAAUUUGUACGGUAUGUUAAGUGUAGGGGGAAGCCAUAGAGCUUGUAAUGAAGUCGUGUCUUGUGUUUCCAAUCAGAGGCAGGCAGGACGAAAUGCAUUAUGGCAAGCUACUGAGUGCAACAACAAACCACGGGGGGUGGGGGAGGAGGAAGGGGGAAGCAAGGUUGGAUUAAAAUAUAAUUUCUGUGGCUUGUUGAACAACAUGACGUAGCUAGUCCUCGGUAUGCAGAGGAUGGGUGCUUGCAAAGAGCACAGAGCCAUCUGCUGCUCGUCAGAUUCCAAAGCAAUUACAGAAUCUGUGUGUUUUGAUUGGUUUUUGUGGGUUUUUUCCCCCAGUUCACUUGCCCAGCCUAUACAGCAAAACCCACAAGCGACAGCAUGAGACAGAGCACUGAAAUGAGGGCAACCCCCCGCUGACAUUUCAGAGCAAGGUUCAAAGAACAGCUGACGUGAUGGGGCUAAAUGGGAAAGCAGAGGAAGAUCUCACAUAGACCAUCACCCCCAUCAGACUACAUGAGGCUGCCCACGAGGGCUGGGGGUUUGGGGUUUGGUUUUGGGGAGUUGUGGUUAGAUUUCCAUUUUGAAAUAAGAACAUCGAUUCCUCUAAGGACAACAGCUGUGCUUCCAGAAGGCAGCUGAUGCCCUGCCCUGGGAGCAAGCUGUGAUGAAGGCACAGUAAGAGAGAAAGGUGCAGGGAGCGAGCACUGAAGGCGCCGUACCAGCUUGCUCCCAGCACACACAUGGAUCCUCUACGGAUCAGCGUGGGAUUGCUAAGAGAUAACAAGGCAGGCUGUGAGGAGCACACCCCGAGGAGACGAAGCUGAGUCACUGCCAGAGCCCAGGGAGAGCCUCACCACCCAGAGAGCAGCACGAACAUAGAGGUAUGCAGGCAGCAAGCACUGAGAACAGCAUAUCUGUAUCGAAGGACAACAAUGGUGUGAGACCACAGUAGUUCCAAAGCAGCCAUAAGCCCGGCCAGAAGCAAUGAGCACCAACAUCCAACCCCCAGGAGCCUGCCAAAGCAACGGGCACAGCAAGCAAGCCAGGAACUGCUCUUGCAAACAGCCUCACGAGCAUUCCCCACAUUGGGGCAUUUCCCACGUGAGGCAUUCAAGAGAAAACUGUGCACAGAGCAGGGUCAGGGACGCUUCCCCAGGGCUUAGAGCUGAGAGAGCAGAGCUCAGGCCUUCAGCCCCAGCUCCUCCCAGUGCUCUGCAGGGGCCGUGGGAGCCCAAAGCCCAGGCUGGGGGAGCAUGUCUGAGCAUGUACAGCUCGGCUGUCAGGGACAUGCCAAACAUCCACGGCCAGGAGCAAUCCCAAAGGUUCCUUGUUGGCCUCAGCAGCUCUACUUCUGCUACGUCAGUGCAUGGCUACCCUCUCUUUUUCCAGGCAAUCCAAUCGUAUCUUAUCCAAGGAUAAGACAAACUACCCUUGAAUUAGGGGAAGACAUUGCAAAUAAUUCUAAGUACAAGCAUUCAGAAGUCCUCCUUCUCCUAAAUUGCUUAUGGAAAUUCCCAUUUCAUGUCUAUGUGUCUCUUUUCAAAGAAUGCAUCUCCCACAUCCUCUCCACCUCUUCAAGCCAUGGAACAUUUCCAU
This is a long non-coding RNA of Gallus gallus (chicken), 3458 nucleotides long. The record is from Ensembl. NCBI's taxonomy places the organism in Eukaryota, Metazoa, Chordata, Aves, Galliformes, Phasianidae.